Molecule: long non-coding RNA, 224 nt
Filed under: Nicotiana benthamiana
Lineage: Eukaryota; Viridiplantae; Streptophyta; Magnoliopsida; Solanales; Solanaceae
Description: long non-coding RNA (NBEN_LNC005572)
Source: RNAcentral
AUCCACCUGGGCCACCCCUACCUUCUCUCGAAUAACUUCAUUCUUAAUCUUAUCUAACCUGGUGUGCCCGCACAUCCACCUGAGCAUCCUCAUCUCCGCAACCUUCAUUCUCUGAACAUGAGAGUUCUUAACGGUCCAGCACUCCACCCCAUACAACAUCGCAGGUCUAACCACAGCUCAAUAGAAUUUCCCCUUGAGUUUAUGUGGAACUUUCUUGUCACACA